RNAcentral lists this transfer RNA (72 nucleotides) under Heterocephalus glaber (naked mole-rat). It matches the Rfam family "tRNA". From Rfam's summary of the family: Transfer RNA (tRNA) molecules are approximately 80 nucleotides in length. Their secondary structure includes four short double-helical elements and three loops (D, anti-codon, and T loops). Further hydrogen bonds mediate the characteristic L-shaped molecular structure. tRNAs have two regions of fundamental functional importance: the anti-codon, which is responsible for specific mRNA codon recognition, and the 3' end, to which the tRNAs corresponding amino acid is attached (by aminoacyl-tRNA synthetases). tRNAs cope with the degeneracy of the genetic code in two manners: having more than one tRNA (with a specific anti-codon) for a particular amino acid; and 'wobble' base-pairing, i.e. permitting non-standard base-pairing at the 3rd anti-codon position. The record is from Rfam by way of RNAcentral. Lineage: Eukaryota; Metazoa; Chordata; Mammalia; Rodentia; Bathyergidae.
AGGGAUUUAGCUCAGUGGUAUGGCACCUGCCUCGUAAGCAUAAGGUCCUGAGUUCGAUCCUCAGUACCACAA